Molecule: small nuclear RNA, 21 nt
Filed under: Arabidopsis thaliana (thale cress)
Lineage: Eukaryota; Viridiplantae; Streptophyta; Magnoliopsida; Brassicales; Brassicaceae
Description: snRNA_12083
Source: RNAcentral
AUCUCGUGAGUUAGUAACUAU